Molecule: long non-coding RNA, 579 nt
Organism: Cyprinus carpio carpio
Lineage: Eukaryota; Metazoa; Chordata; Actinopteri; Cypriniformes; Cyprinidae
Source: Ensembl
AAUAAAUAAAUAAAUAAAUAAAUAAAUAAUAAAGUAAAAUGCUGGGUUGAGACCGCUGGGUAGGACGCUGGGUUGUUUUAAUCCAAUUUUGUGUUGAAAAUUGGUCUUGAUCAUAACCCAGCGGCACUGGGUUGGGAAAGCGGACGUGAAAGAGAGCACGCAUGUCAUGUUAACAUCGGACGACGCCAGUGCGAGAAGCCGCCAUUUUCUCGGCCUGAAAGUGAGAAGAGUGAAAGACAUUAUGAAACGGACGUCUUAUCAGCCUCUUUUACUGAAUGGAAGAGGUACUUCUAAUAUAAUGUCCACUUGUUGAGCUUGUGUCUUGUGCCGGGAGUUAACUAACGUUACACAGAGGCCUGCUUUUGUGGGGGGGUUUCCUCAGCUUCUUCAGAAGAGCGGGAAUAGACUGUUUUAAGAACUCAAACCAACUUUUGAGUUGUCUGAUUUGGGGAGUUAUCAUUCUUGGUCUUCCUUUCUUAAAGGAAUAGUUCACACAAAAAAUAAUUUACUUGCCCUCAUGUCAUUCUAAACCUAAAAGACUUGUCUGUCUUUAGAAUACAAAUGAAUACAUUUAAUUUU